This 505-nucleotide ribosomal RNA is filed under the name uncultured bacterium. RNAcentral describes it as "bacterial SSU rRNA". It matches the Rfam family "Bacterial small subunit ribosomal RNA", at positions 28 to 565 of the family's 1533-position model. The record is from RNAcentral.
UAUCAACGCUGGCGGCGCGCUUAACACAUGCAAGUCGAACGAGAAAGGGGAGCAAUCCCUGAGUAAAGUGGCAGACGGGUGAGUAACACGUGGGUCAUCCACUCCUUGAUGGGGGAUAACCCUGGGAAACCGGGGCUAAUACCGCAUAAGUCCGAGAGGAGAAAGGCGAAAGUCGUCGAGGAAGGAGCCCGCGGCCGAUUAGCUAGUUGGUAGGGUAAUGGCCUACCAAGGCUUUGAUCGGUAGCCGGCCUGAGAGGGCACACGGCCACACUGGCACUGAGACACGGGCCAGACUCCUACGGGAGGCAGCAGUGGGGAAUCUUGCACAAUGGGGGAAACCCUGAUGCAGCGACGCCGCGUGAGCGAUGAAGCCCUUCGGGGUGUAAAGCUCUUUCGACAGGAACGAUUAUGACGGUACCUGGAGAAGAAGCUGCGGCUAACUACGUGCCAGCAGCCGCGGUAAUACGUAGGCAGCAAGCGUUGUUCGGNGUUACUGGGCGUAAAG